This is a non-coding RNA of Drosophila virilis, 4001 nucleotides long. Lineage: Eukaryota; Metazoa; Arthropoda; Insecta; Diptera; Drosophilidae. The record is from RefSeq and is a predicted model, not a curated record.
UAUCGUUUAGCCUCACUUUUACUGAACUUUAGAGAGUUAGCAAGUUAACGUGCUUAGAAAAGUUAUUUAAAAAUAUUGAGAUCAACUAAACCAACAAGUAUUUCAUUUAAUUGUGUACAUUUCAAUAGGUUAAGGGCCCAGACAUCGCAUUACCAAAAAAUUAAAAAAAAUAAAAUCAAAAGCGUACAUAAUUAAAUAAACAAUUAAAUUAUAAAAAAAAAUAGUCUUAUCGUUUAUAUGUGUAUGAAUAUUCGGCAACGCGUAAUUAACACAACUCCUUUGUAGGCUUACAGUGGCUCUGAAGAAGACAAAUCUUAACUGUGCACAAAAAAUUAAGGGUGUGUGAGUGAAUGCAACAAGAAUUUAACGUGACAACGUUUUCAGAAAAUAACAAAGAAAAAUACAAUCCAAAAGGGUAGCAAAUUCAAGAAUAUUACUCCUUUUAAUGGAGAAAAUUGCACACUAAAUACGAGCAUAACAUUGGAGAGGCAGAGUGGUCAGCGGAUCCGGAUAUGGAACUUAGGGAGUUCCUGGAGUCGGAACUGGCACUAUUUGCGGGGGCGCAGGGAGUCUCGCAUAUCGCGGAGCACAGGAUCCGGCUAAAGGACGACAAGUCAUUAAACCAGCGAUAUUAUCCGAAGAAUCCGCCCAUGGAGAGGGUGAUAGACGAACAGGUAGAUGAGCUGAUCCGGACAAGUGUCAUCGGGCCAUCGCGUAGUCCGUACAACGCCCAGUCGUCUUAGUCAAAAAGAAGACUGGCGAAUGGCGCGUGUGCAUCGACUACCGGCAACGUGUAUUCCAUCCCAGACGCUUAUCAUGUUCCCAGGAUUAAUCACAUCCUUGAGCGGUUGAGUCACGCCCGGUUCAUUUCUCCUCUGGAUUUGAAGCACGGGUACUGGCAGAUACCGAUGGCAGCCGAUAGUCGGGAACGUACGGCGUUCACGGUCCCCGGAAGAGGUCUUUUCCAAUGGCAGUUGAUACCAUUCGGCUUACUCUCGGCAUGUGCGACCUUCCAGCGAGCCUUAGACACGCUCAUGGGGCCGGAAAUGGAGCCUCAAACGUUCGCCUACAUAGACUACAACGUGGUAAUAGGGGCAACGAAAGAGCAACAUGUAGAGAACUUGAGGGAGGUGUUACGUAUGUACAGCGUACGCGAGUAGAAAGUUGCUUAAGGCCGAAGAGAACUAUUCCGCCACCACAAAAGAGUCCCUGCCAAUCCUUUGGUCGAUACGGAAGCUGCGUUGCUACUAAGAAGGGUACCGUUUCGACGUGAUAGCGGCACUUAAGUGGUUCAACUCGAGCGAGAGCCCUUCAGGCAGGAUCGUGCGAUGGGCACUGGAGCUACAACAGUUCCAAUUCGACGUCCACUACCGUCGAUGAAAGCUCAACGUCGUGGCCGACGCACUUUCAAAACAUCAUCUAGAGACCUGCCAACAAGCUGUGGUAGCCCAGUCACCCAGCAGGUGGGUCGCGAGUAUGAGUGCUAGAAUCGAAGAGGAGUCGGCCAAGUUCUCGGACUACAUAGAUGAGAAUGGGCAACUGAUGGCGAUUAAAUUCCAUGUAAGCUAUGCGUGUCUAGUGAUCAGCGACAGAGGGUAUUGCAGGAAUGCCACAACGCUCCCACGGCCGGACAUCAAGGCGUGAGGAAAACCGUGUCGAGAUUGGCACAAAGAUACUACUGGCCAGGUAUGUUCCGCGACACCGCCAAGUACGUGAAGUGCUGCGAAAUCUGUCAAAAAUUUAAGAGUGAGCAACUCAAACCGGCUGGACAUAUGCUGACGCGGCAGGUAGCAGAGCCAAUGGCAGUACUCUGCGCCAACUUCGUCGUGCCCCUUUCACGCUCGAAACAUGGCAACACAAUGGUAUUGAUGUUCCAUGAUGCCUUUUCAAAGUGGGUGAAAUGGGUCCCUCUCAGGAGGGUCACGGCGGCACACCUGCAGACCGCAUUCCGAGCGCAAUUUAUCGAGAGGCAUCAGAGUUCGUGGAAGGAGCUUUUGUCUGAGAUAUCGCUGGCGGUCAAUACAAGUGGCGGAUUCGACCGGUUGCCCGGGGACUACGGGGUCCGCAAUUAGUGCGUCCACAGCAAUCUCCAGAGCGCUUCGAAGGACCAGGGAGGACACUACAACCUGCGGAGGCGAGAGUGGUUGCCUUCGUUGGAUUCGAUGGUCCUGUUAAGGCAGCACCAACUAUCCAACGCCGCUGAGGGUUUCGCUGCGAAUGUGGCACCCAAGUUUGAUCGCCCCUAUAGCGUCGUCAAAUUCAUAUCCCCUAAUAUAUAUUUUAUUUUAUGUUUUUUUGCCCUCUUUUUUAAAUGUUGGAAUAAUAACUGGAAUAAUGAAUGUUGAAAUACACACAAACAUUCAUUCAUACAAAAGGUACAAUGACCAAGUAGGCUUUUGUUAUUUUCAGUUUUAAUACUGAAAUGCUUUUAUCGUUUAGCCUCACUUUUACUGAACUUUAGAGAGUUAGCAACUUAACGUUAACCCAGACAUCGCAUUACCAAAAAAUUAAAAAAAAUAAAAUCAAAAGCGUACAUAAUUAAAUAAACAAUUAAAUUAUAAAAAAAAUAGUCUUAUCGUUUAUAUGUGUAUGAAUAUUCGGCAACGCGUAAUUAACACAACUCCUUUGUAGGCUUACAGUGGCUCUGAAGAAGACAAAUCUUAACUGUGCACAAAAAAUUAAGGGUGUGUGAGUGAAUGCAACAAGAAUUUAACGUGACAACGUUUUCAGAAAAUAAUAAAGAAAAAUACAAUCCAAAAUGGUAGCAAAUUCAAGAAUAUUACUCCUUUUAAUGGAGAAAAGUAAGUAUAUUCUGUAUGGAAAUUUAUUUUGAUGAAUCUUUUUGUUCAGAACGAGAUUUUAUAUGUUAUUGAAAAGGCGAAACCCGAAAAAAUGGGCUAAGGCAGAGGGAGCAGCAAACAGUAUAAUAAUUAAAUUCCUUACCGAUUCGUUUCUGUCAUUUGCUGAGAAUAAGAAUUCUGCAAGGGAAAUUUUAAUGAAGUUAGACUCAGUGUUCGACCGUAAAAGUUUAGCCUCGAUUCACUUUAUGGUUCACUUUAAAAAAUUUGACAAAUUUAUGAAUGAGUUAAUAGCAUCAGGAGCUAAAAUUGAAGAGGUGGAUAAAGUGUCACACCUACUUUUAACUUUACCUUCCACUUAUGAUGGGAUGGCAAAUGCUAUUGAAAACUUGUUAAUUGAAAACCUGACUCUGGCAUUUGUUAAAAAUCGACUACUUGAUCACGAGAUCAAACUUAAGAAUGCUAGUAAGAAUACGAGCAGUAAUUUUUUGCAAUCUGAAACUCAAAAUGGCAAAAAUGGCAAUAAAACAGGACCGUGGCUUCUUAAAUCAAAUAUUUGCCCAACCACACAGCCAGGUUUUGUUCUUAUGUUGACGCAGCAGGGUGGAAUGAAUUCAUUUAGGAGCCUCAUACCGUAUGAUAAAUAAUGUAAAACUGUUGUGGAAUAUGGUUUACUGGAAACACCAAUUGAGAUUUCUAUUGCAAAACUUAUGAUACUGCUAAGGGUAGAGUGAAAUUAGAGAGCAAUCUUAAUAAAAAUAUUACCCUAAAAAAUGUCCUUUUUUGCAAGGACAUUCCACAAAAUUUACUAUCGGUGCCAAAGAUGCAGAAUGCUGGUAUGACAAUUCAGUUCAAUUCAACUGGUGCAAGUGUUAAAGAACGGACAAGGCGUUUUAGAAGGUACUUACAUUGAGUAGAGGCAGGCAACAAAUGCCUCAUCUACACAUGAGUAGAGGAUAGUUUAUAGAAGUUGUGCGAAAUAAUGUUUGAGAUUUGAGCAUGACAAUUUGUGUGAGGCUUGUGUUAACGGCAAGCAAACUAGACUCCCGUUUAGUGGAACUAAAAAUAAAGAGACCUUUAUUUAUGGUUCAUUCGGAUGUUUAUGGUCCCAUACCACCUUCAAGUAUUGAUGGUGAAAACUAUGAUGUAGUUUUUGUCGAACAAUAUAAACAUUAUUGUGUAAGCUAUUUGAUAACCUAUAAA